Molecule: unclassified non-coding RNA, 314 nt
Filed under: uncultured fungus
Lineage: Eukaryota; Fungi
Description: sequence contains 5.8S rRNA gene
Source: RNAcentral
GAACGCACCUUGCGCCCUUUGGCUAUUCUGAAGGGCAUGCCUGUUUGAGUAUCAUGAACACCUCAACUCUCAUGGCCUGCCAUGAUGAGCUUGGACUUUGGAGGUCUUGCCGGUGUACCGUCGGCUCCUCUCAAACGAAUCAGCUUGCCAGCGUUUGGCGGCGUCACAGGUGUGAUAACUAUCUACGCUUGUGGACUUCCGCCAGGCAACCUCCAGCGAUGGGGGUUCGCUGGAGCUCACAAACGUCUCUCCUCAGCGAGGACAGCACUUUGACUGUUUGAUCUCAAAUCAGGUAGGACUACCCGCUGAACUUA